GAAAAAAAAAAAAAAAACAGAAAGAAAAACCUCGUGAAACCGAAACCCAGAAAACGAUCGCCACAUCAAUCAUCAAGUGCCACAUCAACACUACCACCUCAUCAUCAUGUCAUUGCCACGUCAGCUAUCAAGUGCCACAUCACCAAAAGUGCUUGCCAUCUCAUCACCACAUCAACCAUCACUGCCACGUCAACAAAAAAUUGAAAGUGUGCUACCUGACUAUUUUCGACAUUCUUAGUCUGAUUUUGGCAUCCGUUUUUGCAAAAAAGAAUCUGAGAGGCUAAUUUUGUAUUCUCAAUAAGGUAUGCUUCUUUACUUGAAACUUGAUUAUUAUUCAUAAAUUGGAUAGUUUUGUAAGGUGUUUUAGAUCCAAGAUUUUGCUUCAUAAACUCACCUUACCAAUGUAACAUUAGCCCUAAACUGUUCCAUUCCUUUUAUUUUAUCUCUCUACUUAUAAGCCAUGCAUACAUCCAAUACAAUCACCCAUAACUUUGACAUAAUCAUUAAAAUUGAGUUUAAUAUUCUUAAUAAUGUGUGUUUGCAUUAAGUUUGUUAUUUACAUUAAUUUUAGUAAUUUUAGUCUGCUUAGCAUCCAUUAUGACUAAAGAUAAGCACCAUGCCUCUACUUCACACACCCAUCCUUUAAUUCCACAUUACAUGAUCAACCUAAAUUUGUUGAAUUAAAAAAAAAAAUACAAGUGGAACAAAUUGCUGAACAUCUGAAAUCUAUGGGCAAACAAACUGUAAUAGAAGAAGAGUCUGUUAAGCAACACCUAAGGUCACCUCAUUCUGUUGAGUCUGCACCUACUGCAACUUAUACACCAGCCACACAAAAUGCAUCUCAUAGGGGUAGUAAUAUAGCAACAAAACAAGUAAGAUUUAAUCAUGUUGGUAAUAUGCCUUUGCAAAAAAUGACACAUAUUGGUUAUGAUAAGCAUGCUCUUGAUGCACCACCAAACAUUCAUUUUAGACAAAAUCCUCAUUUUGAGUAUUAUGAUCCUCAUGGUAGGGCCUUUGAUAGGAACUAUAAGCAACCUAAUCCUCAUGGUAGACUCUUUGAUGGAAACCAUAGGCAACCUCCUAGAUAUGCUAAUAAUGAACAUGUUGAUAUCACUAGGAAGGUCAAACUAACUGCUCUUGAAUAUAAUGAAAAAUUGGAUCGUAAAGUUUUCAUUGAUUGUUUAGAUGGGAUAGAGGAGUAUUGUGAUUUUUAUCACAUAUCUGAUUUGGAGCGUGUUCAUUUUGCCAAAAUAAAAUUGACUAGAACUGCUAGAAAAUAUUGACAAAGUGUUCGAUGCAAUAUGGAACCCUUGAAUAAGCCUCCUAUUACUCAAUGGGCUAUCAUGAAGAGUAAGUUGAAGAGGAAAUAUGUACCUAGCUAUUAUGAGGACAAUAUAGCACAUGAGAUGAUGAAUCUUAAGCAAUCAACUUCUAAUGAAACUAAAUACAUGAAAAAAUUUGAGA
This 1464-nucleotide unclassified non-coding RNA is filed under the name Hevea brasiliensis (rubber tree). The record is from RNAcentral. Lineage: Eukaryota; Viridiplantae; Streptophyta; Magnoliopsida; Malpighiales; Euphorbiaceae.